This is a small nucleolar RNA of Sceloporus undulatus (fence lizard), 133 nucleotides long. The record is from RefSeq and is a predicted model, not a curated record. Lineage: Eukaryota; Metazoa; Chordata; Lepidosauria; Squamata; Phrynosomatidae.
UCGCACUGCUAAGUGACCUGACUGUCUCUUUCGUGACCUUCUGGUCUCAUUCCAGUGCAAGAUAAACUCCCUUCUAGCAGAAGGGCCUGCCUUCUUCCCAAAGGCCUGGUCCUUUCGAAGGCUGGGUACAACG